Molecule: long non-coding RNA, 404 nt
Filed under: Struthio camelus australis
Lineage: Eukaryota; Metazoa; Chordata; Aves; Struthioniformes; Struthionidae
Description: lncRNA (ENSSCUG00000009338.1)
Source: RNAcentral
AAUUUCCUCCGUUACACAGUGGUUAAGAGAAACAGCAUAUCCUAAGAUCACAGAAGGAAUGGCUACUGAACUGCACAUGAAGCAAAACUGCUGUUAGCCAGGAAAGCCCUCCAAAAGCCUCCAUGCAACGCAUCAUAGUCCAAUACAAGCGGAGAAGAAUGCUCCUUAAAAAGUUACAAGGAUGAGGAACAGCCAGAACACGAGAUUUUCCUGGGAAUCAAUCCAAGAAGUGGUGGUGGAGGCUUGCUAGUUAAUCCGUUUGUUAAAAGGAGUGCUUUUUCAGCCUGCAGCAUUAUUCCCUUAUUUUAUUCAUUGGGCCUUUUCAUUCCAGCAGGUGAUCAAUAUGGGGAUCCGUACGUAAGGUAACUGCUGCUUCAACUUUUUUUAUUGGACAAGGUGUAAAC